GACGAACGCUGGCGGCGUGCUUAACACAUGCAAGUCGAACGGAAAGGCCCUGCUUUUGUGGGGUGCUCGAGUGGCGAACGGGUGAGUAACACGUGAGUAACCUGCCCUUGACUUUGGGAUAACUUCAGGAAACUGGGGCUAAUACCGGAUAGGAGCUCCUGCUGCAUGGUGGGGGUUGGAAAGUUUCGGCGGUUGGGGAUGGACUCGCGGCUUAUCAGCUUGUUGGUGGGGUAGUGGCUUACCAAGGCUUUGACGGGUAGCCGGCCUGAGAGGGUGACCGGCCACAUUGGGACUGAGAUACGGCCCAGACUCCUACGGGAGGCAGCAGUGGGGAAUAUUGCACAAUGGGCGGAAGCCUGAUGCAGCAACGCCGCGUGCGGGAUGACGGCCUUCGGGUUGUAAACCGCUUUCGCCUGUGACGAAGCGUGAGUGACGGUAAUGGGUAAAGAAGCACCGGCUAACUACGUGCCAGCAGCCGCGGUGAUACGUAGGGUGCGAGCGUUGUCCGGAUUUAUUGGGCGUAAAGGGCUCGUAGGUGGUUGAUCGCGUCGGAAGUGUAAUCUUGGGGCUUAACCCUGAGCGUGCCUUCGAUACGGGUUGACUUGAGGAAGGUAGGGGAGAAUGGAAUUCCUGGUGGAGCGGUGGAGUGCGCAGAUAUCAGGAGGAACACCAGUGGCGAAGGCGGUUCUCUGGGCCUUUCCUGACGCUGAGGAGCGAAAGCGUGGGGAGCGAACAGGCUUAGAUACCCUGGUAGUCCACGCUGUAAACGGUGGGUACUAGGUGUGGGGUCCAUUCCACGGGUUCCGUGCCGUAGGUAACGCUUUAAGUACCCCGCCUGGGGAGUACGGCCGCAAGGCUAAAACUCAAAGGAAUUGACGGGGCCCCGCACAAGCGGCGGAGCAUGCGGAUUAAUUCGAUGCAACGCGUAGAACCUUACCUGGGUUUGACAUGGAUCGGGAGUGCUCAGAGAUGGGUGUGCCUCUUUUGGGGUCGGUUCACAGGUGGUGCAUGCCUGUCGUCAGCUCGUGUCGUGAGAUGUUGGGUUAAGUCCCGCAACGAGCGCAACCCUUGUUCACUGUUGCCAGCACGUUAUGGUGGGGACUCAGUGGAGACCGCCGGGGUCAACUCGGAGGAAGGUGGGGAUGACGUCAAGUCCUCAUGCCCCUUAUGUCCAGGGCUUCACGCAUGCUACAAUGGCUGGUACAGAGAGUGGCGAGCCUGUGAGGGUGAGCGAAUCUCGGAAAGCCGGUCUCAGUUCGGAUUGGGGUCUGCAACUCGACCUCAUGAAGUCGGAGUCGCUAGUAAUCGCAGAUCAGCAACGCUGCGGUGAAUACGUUCCCGGGGCU
RNAcentral lists this ribosomal RNA (1346 nucleotides) under uncultured bacterium. RNAcentral describes it as "bacterial SSU rRNA". It matches the Rfam family "Bacterial small subunit ribosomal RNA", at positions 28 to 1381 of the family's 1533-position model. The record is from RNAcentral.